This 49-nucleotide ribosomal RNA is filed under the name Blastobotrys ciferrii. RNAcentral's name for it is "Trichomonascus ciferrii partial 28S ribosomal RNA". The record is from RNAcentral. Lineage: Eukaryota; Fungi; Ascomycota; Dipodascomycetes; Dipodascales; Trichomonascaceae.
GUUUGACCUCAUACACGUAAGAAUACCCGCUGAACUUAAGCAUAUCAAU